RNAcentral lists this ribosomal RNA (484 nucleotides) under uncultured bacterium. Its description in RNAcentral is "partial 16S ribosomal RNA". It matches the Rfam family "Bacterial small subunit ribosomal RNA", at positions 30 to 507 of the family's 1533-position model. The record is from RNAcentral.
AUUGAACGCUGGCGGCAGGCCUAACACAUGCAAGUCGAGCGGAUGAAGGGAGCUUGCUCCUGGAUUCAGCGGCGGACGGGUGAGCAAUGCCUAGGAAUCUGCCUGGUAGUGGGGGAUAGCGUCCGGAAACGGGCGCUAAUACCGCAUACGUCCUGAGGGAGAAAGUGGGGGAUCUUCGGACCUCACGCUAUCAGAUGAGCCUAGGUCGGAUUAGCUAGUUGGUGGGGUAAAGGCCUACCAAGGCGACGAUCCGUAACUGGUCUGAGAGGAUGAUCAGUCACACUGGAACUGAGACACGGUCCAGACUCCUACGGGAGGCAGCAGUGGGGAAUAUUGGACAAUGGGCGAAAGCCUGAUCCAGCCAUGCCGCGUGUGUGAAGAAGGUCUUCGGAUUGUAAAGCACUUUAAGUUGGGAGGAAGGGCAGUAAGUUAAUACCUUGCUGUUUUGACGUUACCAACAGAAUAAGCACCGGCUAACUUCGUG